UCAAGUUAUUAAGGGUGCAGGGCGAAUGCCUUGGCACUAGGAGCCGAUGAAGGACGUGAUAAGCUGCGAUAAGCUUCGGGGAGUUGCACGUAAACUUUGAUCCGAAGAUUUCCGAAUGAGGAAACUCACUUAGAGUAAUGUCUAAGUAUCGUAUGAUGAAUACAUAGUCAUGCGAGGGGAACCCGGAGAACUGAAACAUCUAAGUACCCGGAGGAAGAGAAAGAAAUUCGAUUCCGUAAGUAGCGGCGAGCGAACGCGGAACAGGCCAAACCAGUGAAGUUUUCUUCGCUGGGGUUGCGGACAUAUCAUAACGAAGAGGUAUCGUAGAAGAAGAGAGUUGGAAAGCUCCGCCACAGAUGGUAACAGCCCAGUAUUUUAAACGAGAAGACUUUAGAUAUGAUCCAGAGUACCACGGGACACGUGAAACCCUGUGGGAAGCAGGAGGGACCAUCCUCCAAGCCUAAAUACUACCUAGUGACCGAUAGCGUAUAGUACCGUGAGGGAAAGGUGAAAAGAACCCCGGGAGGGGAGUGAAAGAGAACCUGAAACCCUGCACUUACAAGCUGUAGGAGCACAUUAUUUGUGUGACUGCGUACUUUUUGUAGAACGGGCCAACGAGUUACGUUGUGUAGCAAGGUUAAGCACUUAAGGUGUGGAGCCGUAGCGAAAGCGAGUCUUAAAUGGGCGUCCAGUUACCCGACGUAGACCCGAAACCAGGCGACCUAUCCAUGAGCAGGUUGAAGCGAAAGUAAAAUUUCGUGGAGGACCGAACCCACGUACGUUGAAAAGUGCGGGGAUGACUUGUGGAUAGCGGUGAAAUUCCAAUCGAGCCUGGAGAUAGCUGGUUCUCCCCGAAAUAGCUUUAGGGCUAGCCUCAAGCUUAGAGAAACGGAGGUAGAGCACUGAAUGUCCUAGGGGGUAUUGCACUUACCGAAGACUAUCAAACUCCGAAUGCCGUAUUCUUUUGCUUGGGAGUCAGACUAUGGGUGAUAAGAUUCAUAGUCAAGAGGGCAACAGCCCAGAUCGUCAGCUAAGGUCCCUAAAUGUAAGUUAAGUGGUAAAGGAUGUGGAAUUGCACAGACAACCAGGAUGUUGGCUUAGAAGCAGCCACUCAUUUAAAGAGUGCGUAAUAGCUCACUGGUCGAGUGAUUCUGCGCCGAAAAUUUCCGGGGCUAAAACUUACUACCGAAGCUACGGCAUCAUUAUGAUGGGUAGGGGAGCUUUCUAUGCGGCUUGAAGCAUGACCGUAAGGACAUGUGGACUGCAUAGAAGUGAGAAUGUUGGCAUGAGUAGCGAGAUGUGGGUGAGAAUCCCACAGGCCGUAAACCCAAGGUUUCCAGGGGAAGGUUCGUCCGCCCUGGGUUAGUCAGGACCUAAGCCGAGGCCGAAAGGCGUAGGUGAUGGACAACAGGUUGAUAUUCCUGUACCACCAAUAACCGUUUGAGAAAUGGGAUGACACAGUAGGAUAAGCUAACCGCACUGUUGGUUAUGUGCGGGCAAGUAUUGAGGCAGUUCCGAUAGGCAAAUCCGUCGGAAUAAUGCUGGGGUACGAUGCGGAGCGAAAUUUAGUAGCGAAGUAGCUGAUUUCACACUGUCGAGAAAAGUCUCUAUCGAGGUUAAAGGUGCCUGUACCGCAAACCGACACAGGUGGGUGAGGAGAGUAUCCUAAGGCCAGCGAGAGAACUGUUGUUAAGGAACUCGGCAAAAUGACCCCGUAACUUAGGGAGAAGGGGUGCCUUCGAAAGAAGGCCGCAGAGAAUAGGCCCAAGCGACUGUUUACCAAAAACAUAGGUUUCUGCUAAGUCGCAAGACGAUGUAUAGGAGCUGACGCCUGCCCGGUGCUGGAAGGUUAAGGGGAUCUGUUAGAGCAAUCGAAGCAGUGAACUUAAGCCCCAGUAAACGGCGGCCGUAACUAUAACGGUCCUAAGGUAGCGAAAUUCCUUGUCGGGUAAGUUC
This 1956-nucleotide ribosomal RNA is filed under the name human gut metagenome. RNAcentral's name for it is "bacterial LSU rRNA". It matches the Rfam family "Bacterial large subunit ribosomal RNA", at positions 3 to 1983 of the family's 2925-position model. The record is from RNAcentral.